RNAcentral lists this ribosomal RNA (433 nucleotides) under uncultured bacterium. RNAcentral describes it as "partial 16S ribosomal RNA". It matches the Rfam family "Bacterial small subunit ribosomal RNA", at positions 29 to 507 of the family's 1533-position model. The record is from RNAcentral.
AACGAACGCUGGCGGCAUGCCUAACACAUGCAAGUCGAACGAGACCUUCGGGGCUAGUGGCGCACGGGUGCGUAACGCGUGGGAACGUGCCCUUAGGUUCGGAAUAACUCCGCGAAAGGGGUGCUAAUACCGGAUAAUGUCUUCGGACCAAAGAUUUAUCGCCUUUGGAUGGGCCCGCGUUGGAUUAGCUAGUUGGUAGGGUAAAAGCCUACCAAGGCGACGAUCCAUAGCUGGUCUGAGAGGAUGAUCAGCCACACUGGGACUGAGACACGGCCCAGACUCCUACGGGAGGCAGCAGUGGGGAAUCUUGCACAAUGGGCGAAAGCCUGACGCAGCCAUGCCGCGUGAGUGAUGAAGGUCUUAGGGUUGUAAAGCUCUUUUACCCGGGACGAUAAUGACGGUACCCGGAGAAUAAGCCCCGGCUAACUUCGUG